CAUGCACGACUAUAUUUGCCGGAUUCGUUCUGAGCGGAUUGAUCUCCCACCAUUGGAGUGCAUCUGAUGUUGUACCUGUGCGACCCGCACAUUUAUCCGAUGGAUACUAUCUUUGGGUUACCCCGUUGCCUUUUUGUCGGGAGAGCCGUCUUUUCUAGAAAACAAUUUAAAUUGAUUUCAAUCAAAAAAUGCCUUUUUGUUUUCGGGGAUUUCGGUGUUUUCAAUUUUCGGUUUCGGUUAUUGUCCCUCUCAUUCUCCUCGGCACUUGCUCUUCUGGUCUUCAAAGGUUUUUUCGUAUUUGUCGAUGUUUAGUUUUUGGUUUUCAGUUUUGAGUUUUCGGGAAAAAGGGACAGGGACACACGCUUUCAGCGUAAAGAUCGCAUUUAAACGAAACAAAAUUUGACUUUAUAAUAAUGCCUGGGCAGGGGAUGUGUCUAAGCCAGCAUAUCCAGCAUAGCAGAUCCAGUCAGCGAGCGGCGAUCCACGAGAUACAAUACCGGAUUAUGGCCUUUUGUUGCUGCCUUUUUGAUCACUUCGAUGCUCUUGUAUAGUAUCUGCCAUGUAAAUCGGCUGCAAAUUAUAAGGCAGGCCAAUUGGAUCUUGGCCAAGAAGAGCCGAGCUAAGCACCCCAUGGAGUUCCGCAAGCGGCACAGAUGUGGCCAUCAGAUGAGAUGAGCCACUGGGGCGGCAACAAAAGGAUCCGUAUCCAGAUACAGCUACAGAUGGGAGGAACAGGGAAUGGCUGGAAUAAAUGGCAAUGUUUCGAGCAAUUUUCGUUAUAAUUAAAUGCACCAACGAACGGCAGCGAAAAAGACAGGAGGCCGACGAAAAUUAUUAUAAUUAAAUGCACCCGCCAAUGCGCAUUUCAAGCGAAUUGUUUUAUAAUUUCCAAUUGCAGCUGGCUGCCUGGUUCGCCUUGCACCUGAUCCACAAGCCGGACUUUGGCAAUAAACUAAAUAUUUCCGCCA
Long non-coding RNA from Drosophila simulans, 968 nucleotides. RefSeq lists it as uncharacterized. Lineage: Eukaryota; Metazoa; Arthropoda; Insecta; Diptera; Drosophilidae. The transcript has 2 exons. The record is from RefSeq and is a predicted model, not a curated record.